GUUUUCCUGUGGAGAUGACGGGGGGGGGGGGGAUUGGCUAAAGGCGUCGAAGAUUUAUAAUAUCUUCCUGGUCGCGUUGCGAAAUGGAUGGAUGGACAUUGGUGGCAAACGGGCGGUGGGGGAAAUGGCAGAAAUUGCAAGAAAAUUCUGAACGAAAAACUUCUAGUAUGUAGUAC
This is a non-coding RNA of Caenorhabditis elegans, 176 nucleotides long. NCBI's taxonomy places the organism in Eukaryota, Metazoa, Nematoda, Chromadorea, Rhabditida, Rhabditidae. The record is from Ensembl.